Molecule: ribosomal RNA, 774 nt
Filed under: uncultured Neocallimastigales
Lineage: Eukaryota; Fungi; Neocallimastigomycota; Neocallimastigomycetes; Neocallimastigales
Description: partial large subunit ribosomal RNA
Rfam family: Eukaryotic large subunit ribosomal RNA
Source: RNAcentral
UACUAGAGUAGCACUCGCAUAUCAAUAAGCGGAGGAAAAGAAACUAACAAGGAUUCCCCUAGUAACGGCGAGUGAAGCGGGAAGAGCUCAAAUUUGAAAUCUUAAAGGGUUUCCCUUUACGAAUUGUAGUUUAAAGAAGUGUUUUCUGUUGAGGUUUUGGUAAAAGUUCUUUGGAAUAGGACAUCAUAGAGGGUGAGAAUCUCGUAUUUGACCUUUACUUUCAACUUUGUGAUACACUUUCAAAGAGUCGGAUUGUUUGGGAAUGCAGUCCAAAAUGGGUGGUAAAUUUCAUCUAAAGCUAAAUAUUGGCGAGAGACCGAUAGCGAACAAGUACCGUGAGGGAAAGAUGAAAAGAACUUUGAAAAGAGAGUUAAACAGUACGUGAAAUUGUCAAAAGGGAAGCGUUUGACACCAGUGUUGUUUUUCUGAAAAUCAAUUAAAGAACUGUUUAUGCUAAGUUGUUUAGACUUUAUCAGCUAUCUGCUUAGUUUUGAGCUUCUCUUUAAUGCACUUUUCAGUUAACAAGUCAACAUCAAUUUCUUUUGCUGUAAAAAAGCUUGAGGAAGGUGGCUUGAGAUUCGUCUUAAGUGUUUAUAGCCUCUUGCCUAUGCAGUCGGAGAGAUUGAGGUCUGCAGCGUAGAUCCUUCGGGGCUAAAUGCAUUUGUGCUAAGUUAUAGCAUUUUAUAGACAACUUGUUGACUAUGAUUUGUCUUGUAGCUUACUCGCUUAUGUUAUUUUACCUACGCUUAGGAUGUUGAAGACUCUACAGAGAUA